Molecule: ribosomal RNA, 576 nt
Filed under: uncultured bacterium
Lineage: Bacteria
Description: bacterial SSU rRNA
Rfam family: Bacterial small subunit ribosomal RNA
Source: RNAcentral
ACGGGUGAGUAAUACAUCGGAACGUGCCCUGUAGUGGGGGAUAACUAGUCGAAAGAUUAGCUAAUACCGCAUACGACCUGAGGGUGAAAGUGGGGGACCGCAAGGCCUCAUGCUAUAGGAGCGGCCGAUGUCUGAUUAGCUAGUUGGUGAGGUAAAGGCUCACCAAGGCGACGAUCAGUAGCUGGUCUGAGAGGACGAUCAGCCACACUGGGACUGAGACACGGCCCAGACUCCUACGGGAGGCAGCAGUGGGGAAUUUUGGACAAUGGGGGCAACCCUGAUCCAGCAAUGCCGCGUGUGUGAAGAAGGCCUUCGGGUUGUAAAGCACUUUUGUCCGGAAAGAAAUCGCACUUACUAAUAUUAGGUGUGGAUGACGGUACCGGAAGAAUAAGGACCGGCUAACUACGUGCCAGCAGCCGCGGUAAUACGUAGGGUCCAAGCGUUAAUCGGAAUUACUGGGCGUAAAGCGUGCGCAGGCGGUUGCGCAAGACCGAUGUGAAAUCCCCGGGCUUAACCUGGGAAUUGCAUUGGUGACUGCACGGCUAGAGUGUGUCAGAGGGGGGUAGAAUUCCACGU